GUCACCAUGGUAGCAAGGCAAUUUGAUAAGGGACCCUUUUUAGCACAGAGCAUACGAAGAAGAUUAACAGCUAAUUGUGUACUGUCUAUACCUUUAUUAAAUUGUGUUGAUCCUUUACCUUUAACUGUUAGACCCUGAGAUUUCUCCUCCUUAUACCAUCAACAUGGUACUAAGAAUAUAUUGAGCAUUCAAAUAUAUGUAUUUACUGACUGAAUUAAAUGAAUAGUAUUUCUGUUAUGUCUUCCUUUCCAAGCUACCUGCGCAGCAAUUUGCUUUUUAAAAAUUACCUCUACAUUUGCCUGGGGGAUCAAAUCGAAUCAUUUUCCUGACUGGCCCAACAUGGAUUUCAUGUUGGGGGGUUAAAAGGACAGCAAUUAGGUAUUUGGAAAUACUGUAUGAUUAGGUAAGUAGAAUAGUAAGUAAAUUCACAGUCAUCAGGCCAUUCAAGGCCCAGAGGUUUUGUGUGAGGACUUCUGGUGACAAGUUUGGCAGCAGUUCCUAAAGUGCUUAUUAUCAGGCCUGAGUUAAAACCUUGAGAACAAGGAGUUCCACCACUAGGACUUCAGAUUGAGAAAGCUUUUUAAGCCCCCACCUCCUCCUUAUAUUCAGUUAGCACUCAGCCUGGGAAGCCUCCUUAUUAUACCUCCUUGAGUUAAUGAUCAUCUCUUAUAUAGCCUUUUCCCUAGUGUGUUCUUACAUUUCAUUUUUAAUUGUCAGGUAUAUAAUUGUUCUGAAUUUCAGUUACUUCCAUAUCUAUUUUUAGUAUUUUGUUUCACAUUUCUUUUUAAAAGAGCUUAAAUGUAGAUACACCCUUUUUAUUUUAAUAGUACCUUUAUUUGCUAUUUUGAGAUCUGGGUUCCUGUAGUUUCAGCAGACCCUCAGCAUGUGCCACACCAGCUUAUAGAUUGAUAUUCUCGUCAUGUUCAAGUUUGAAAACAGCUGCAAGAAUUUGUCCUUGGAAUUCUUUAGCAGUAGUUUCCAUUGCUAAAGACCAAAUUUGGCCACUCUAGUGGAUCAGCCACUGGGCCAAUAUCAUCAGCAUAUUAUCACCCUCACUGAGACAAACUAAACCAGAUCAGCCUCUUGCAGAACAAGUUGGAGAAGCUACUUUUCCUAGAAAGGGACAGGUUAAAUCCUUGCAAACCUGCUAAGGAAUUUGACCUAGUUCCUUGAAACUAGAAUGUUAUUUGAAAGAAAAACUUGUUGCAAAUGUGUUCUUCAAAAUUACUUUUGAACCCCUCUGAGACAGGGGGAAAGUAAUUCUCUUCACAUGGCCUCACCUUCACCACCAGUUAGUUCAAUUUAAUGUGAAGUUGGGGAAGAAACAAAUAGUACAACUUCAUUUUAUCAAAAGAAUAUGUAGGUCUCUAGUUGUAAAAGUCUGAAUACAGACUGAAUAAGAACUUGCAGUUCUGGCACUCAGUGCUUUUUACUUUUUUCCCCAAUGUGUAAUUUAUACUCUGUCAAAAUAACUUGAAUUUCCUAAAAAUGUCUCCUUUUCUGCUUCUGUACCUUUGCAGUUGCAAACCACUUAGACUAUGAAUGUGUUGCUAAUUUUUAAGCCUCAUCUCCAGUGUUAACCUCCUCCAUGAAAAUGUUACUGGUUGUCUGAAUAAAGUAUAC
RNAcentral lists this long non-coding RNA (1623 nucleotides) under Marmota monax (woodchuck). Lineage: Eukaryota; Metazoa; Chordata; Mammalia; Rodentia; Sciuridae. The record is from RNAcentral.